RNAcentral lists this ribosomal RNA (482 nucleotides) under uncultured bacterium. RNAcentral's name for it is "partial 16S ribosomal RNA". It matches the Rfam family "Bacterial small subunit ribosomal RNA", at positions 30 to 507 of the family's 1533-position model. The record is from RNAcentral.
AUUGAACGCUGGCGGCAUGCCUUACACAUGCAAGUCGAACGGUAACGGGCCUUCGUGUGCCGACGAGUGGCGAACGGGUGAGUAAUACAUCGGAACGUGCCCGAUCGUGGGGGAUAACGAGGCGAAAGCUUUGCUAAUACCGCAUACGAUCUACGGUUGAAAGCAGGGGACCUCAAGGCCUUGCGCGGACGGUGCGGCCGAUGGCAGAUUAGGUAGUUGGUGGGAUAAAAGCUUACCAAGCCGACGAUCUGUAGCUGGUCUGAGAGGAUGAUCAGCCACACUGGAACUGAGACACGGCCCAGACUCCUACGGGAGGCAGCAGUGGGGAAUUUUGGACAAUGGGCGAAAGCCUGAUCCAGCCAUGCCGCGUGAAGGAUGAAGGCCUUCGGGUUGUAAACUGCUUUUGUACGGAAAGAAAAGAAUUCUUUUAAUACAGGAGGGUCAUGACGGUACCGUAAGAAUAAGCACCGGCUAACUACGUG